RNAcentral lists this ribosomal RNA (253 nucleotides) under uncultured bacterium. RNAcentral describes it as "partial 16S ribosomal RNA". It matches the Rfam family "Bacterial small subunit ribosomal RNA", at positions 524 to 776 of the family's 1533-position model. The record is from RNAcentral.
UACGUAGGGGGCAAGCGUUGUCCGGAAUCAUUGGGCGUAAAGGGCGCGUAGGCGGCUCUGCACGUCCGUUGUGAAAUCGCCCGGCUCAACUGGGCGGGGUCAGCGGAUACGGCGGAGCUUGAGCAAGCUAGGGGGCAAUGGAAUUCCCGGUGUAGUGGUGGAAUGCGUAGAUAUCGGGAGGAACACCAGUGGCGAAGGCGGUUGCCUGGGGCUUUGCUGACGCUGAUGCGCGAAAGCGUGGGGAGCGAUCCGG